GACGAACGCUGGCGGCGUGCCUAAUACAUGCAAGUAGAACGCUGAAGAGAGGAGCUUGCUCUUCUUGGAUGAGUUGCGAACGGGUGAGUAACGCGUAGGUAACCUGCCUUGUAGCGGGGGAUAACUAUUGGAAACGAUAGCUAAUACCGCAUAACAAUGGAUGACACAUGUCAUUUAUUUGAAAGUGGCAAUUGCUCCACUACAAGAUGGACCUGCGUUGUAUUAGCUAGUAGGUGAGGUAAUGGCUCACCUAGGCGACGAUACAUAGCCGACCUGAGAGGGUGAUCGGCCACACUGGGACUGAGACACGGCCCAGACUCAUACGGGAGGCAGCAGUAGGGAAUCUUCGGCAAUGGGGGCAACCCUGACCGAGCAACGCCGCGUGAGUGAGGAAGGUUUCCGGAUCGUAAAGCUCUGUUGUAAGUCAAGAACGGGUGUGAGAGUGGAAAGUUCACACUGUGACGGUAGCUUACCAGAAAGGGACGGCUAACUACGUG
This 497-nucleotide ribosomal RNA is filed under the name uncultured bacterium. RNAcentral describes it as "partial 16S ribosomal RNA". It matches the Rfam family "Bacterial small subunit ribosomal RNA", at positions 28 to 507 of the family's 1533-position model. The record is from RNAcentral.